AUUUUAAUAGCUUAAAUAUUAGAGCUAAGUAUUGAAGAUACUUUCGUGAGAUUUCUCUUAGAAUA
RNAcentral lists this transfer RNA (65 nucleotides) under Atkinsoniella zizhongi. Its description in RNAcentral is "Atkinsoniella sp. 1 YJ-2022a tRNA-Phe". The record is from RNAcentral. Lineage: Eukaryota; Metazoa; Arthropoda; Insecta; Hemiptera; Cicadellidae.